AACAGCGGAGAGUUUGAUCCUGGCUCAGGAUGAACGCUAGCGACAGGCUUAACACAUGCAAGUCGAGGGGCAGCGGGGGAGCAGCAAUGCUCCCGCCGGCGACCGGCGCACGGGUGAGUAACACGUAUGGAACCUGCCCGCAGCAGGGGGAUAAGCGGAAGAAAUUCCGUCUAAUACCGCGUAACACCGCAGAGGGGCAUCCCUCGGCGGUUAAAGAUUCAUCGGCUGCGGAUGGCCAUGCGGCGCAUUAGCUAGUCGGCGGGGUAACGGCCCACCGAGGCGACGAUGCGUAGGGGUUCUGAGAGGAAGGUCCCCCACACUGGUACUGAGACACGGACCAGACUCCUACGGGAGGCAGCAGUGAGGAAUAUUGGUCAAUGGCCGUAAGGCUGAACCAGCCAAGUCGCGUGAGGGAAGACGGCCCUACGGGUUGUAAACCUCUUUUGUCAGGGAGCAAGGGGCAGGUCGUGACCUGCUGUGAGAGUACCUGAAGAAAAAGCAUCGGCUAACUCCGUGCCAGCAGCCGCGGUAAUACGGAGGAUGCGAGCGUUAUCCGGAUUUAUUGGGUUUAAAGGGUGCGCAGGCGGAGGCACAAGUCAGCGGUAAAAUCGCGGGGCUCAACCCCGCUCCGCCGUUGAAACUGUGUCCCUUGAGUGCGCGAAGGGUAGGCGGAAUGCGUGGUGUAGCGGUGAAAUGCAUAGAUAUCACGCAGAACUCCGAUCGCGAAGGCAGCCUACCGGCGCGCAACUGACGCUCAUGCACGAAAGCGUGGGUAUCGAACAGGAUUAGAUACCCUGGUAGUCCACGCAGUAAACGAUGAAUGCUAUCUGUCCGGCCGGAAUGACGGCUGGGUGGCACAGCGAAAGCGUUAAGCAUUCCACCUGGGGAGUACGCCGGCAACGGUGAAACUCAAAGGAAUUGACGGGGGCCCGCACAAGCGGAGGAACAUGUGGUUUAAUUCGAUGAUACGCGAGGAACCUUACCCGGGCUCAAACGACGCAGGGAUGUCCGUGAAAGCGGACAGUCCUUCGGGACCUGUGUCGAGGUGCUGCAUGGUUGUCGUCAGCUCGUGCCGUGAGGUGUCGGCUUAAGUGCCAUAACGAGCGCAACCCCCAUCUUCAGUUGCCAUCAGGUUAUGCUGGGCACUCUGGAGAGACUGCCGGCGCAAGCUGCGAGGAAGGCGGGGAUGACGUCAAAUCAGCACGGCCCUUACGUCCGGGGCGACACACGUGUUACAAUGGCAGGUACAGCGGGAGGCCAGGCGGCGACGCCGAGCGGAACCCGAAAACCUGUCUCAGUUCGGAUCGGAGUCUGCAACCCGACUCCGUGAAGCUGGAUUCGCUAGUAAUCGCGCAUCAGCCAUGGCGCGGUGAAUACGUUCCCGGGCCUUGUACACACCGCCCGUCAAGCCAUGGAAGCCGGGGGUGCCUGAAGUGUGCAACCGCAAGGAGCGCCCUAAGGUAAAACCGGUGACUGGGGCUAAGUCGUAACAAGGUAGCCGUACCGGAAGGUGCGGCUGGAACACCUCCUUUCU
RNAcentral lists this ribosomal RNA (1534 nucleotides) under Duncaniella freteri. RNAcentral describes it as "bacterial SSU rRNA". It matches the Rfam family "Bacterial small subunit ribosomal RNA". Lineage: Bacteria; Pseudomonadati; Bacteroidota; Bacteroidia; Bacteroidales; Muribaculaceae. The record is from RNAcentral.